This 712-nucleotide ribosomal RNA is filed under the name uncultured bacterium. RNAcentral's name for it is "bacterial SSU rRNA". It matches the Rfam family "Bacterial small subunit ribosomal RNA", at positions 28 to 755 of the family's 1533-position model. The record is from RNAcentral.
GACGAACGCUGGCGGCGUGCUUAACACAUGCAAGUCGAGCGGUAAGGCUCCUUCGGGAGUACACGAGCGGCGAACGGGUGAGUAACACGUGAGCAACCUGCCCUUCUCAUGGGAAUAAGCGUUGGAAACGACGUCUAAUGCCGAAUACGACUUCGGAAGGCAUCUUCUGAAGUGGAAAGCUCCGGCGGAGAAGGAUGGGCUCGCGGCCUAUCAGCUAGUUGGUGAGGUAACGGCCCACCAAGGCGACGACGGGUAGCCGGCCUGAGAGGGUGACCGGCCACACUGGGACUGAGACACGGCCCAGACUCCUACGGGAGGCAGCAGUGGGGAAUAUUGGACAAUGGGCGCAAGCCUGAUCCAGCAACGCCGCGUGAGGGAUGACGGCCUUCGGGUUGUAAACCUCUUUCAGCAGGGACGAGGCGAAAGUGACGGUACCUGCAGAAGAAGGACCGGCCAACUACGUGCCAGCAGCCGCGGUAAUACGUAGGGUCCGAGCGUUGUCCGGGAUUAUUGAGCGUAAAAGGCUCGUAGGCGGUUUGUCGCGUCGGGAGUGAAAACUCAGGGCUCAACCCUGAGCGUGCUUCCGAUACGGGCAGACGUAGAGGUAGUGCAGGGGGAGAACGGAAUUCCUGGUGUAGCGGUGGAAUGCGCAGAUAUCAGGAGGAACACCGGUGGCGAAGGCGGUUCUCUGGGCAUUNGACGCUGAGGAGCG